RNAcentral lists this ribosomal RNA (253 nucleotides) under uncultured bacterium. RNAcentral describes it as "partial 16S ribosomal RNA". It matches the Rfam family "Bacterial small subunit ribosomal RNA", at positions 524 to 776 of the family's 1533-position model. The record is from RNAcentral.
UACGUAGGGUGCAAGCGUUAUCCGGAUUCACUGGGUUUAAAGGGUGCGUAGGUGGGUUGGUAAGUCAGUGGUGAAAUCUCCGAGCUUAACUUGGAAACUGCCAUUGAUACUAUCAGUCUUGAAUAUUGUGGAGGUCAGCGGAAUAUGUCAUGUAGCGGUGAAAUGCUUAGAUAUGACAUAGAACACCAAUUGCGAAGGCAGCUGGCUACACAUAUAUUGACACUGAGGCACGAAAGCGUGGGGAUCAAACAGG